RNAcentral lists this ribosomal RNA (577 nucleotides) under uncultured Comamonadaceae bacterium. RNAcentral's name for it is "bacterial SSU rRNA". It matches the Rfam family "Bacterial small subunit ribosomal RNA", at positions 97 to 670 of the family's 1533-position model. Lineage: Bacteria; Pseudomonadati; Pseudomonadota; Betaproteobacteria; Burkholderiales; Comamonadaceae. The record is from RNAcentral.
GGCGUACGGGUGAGUAAUGCAUCGGAACGUGCCCAGUAGUGGGGGAUAGCUCGGUGAAAGCCGGAUUAAUACCGCAUACGCACUACGGUGGAAAGCGGGGGACCGAAAGGCCUCGCGCUAUUGGAGCGGCCGAUGUCGGAUUAGCUUGUUGGUGGGGUAAAGGCCUACCAAGGCGACGAUCCGUAGCUGGUCUGAGAGGACGACCAGCCACACUGGGACUGAGACACGGCCCAGACUCCUACGGGAGGCAGCAGUGGGGAAUUUUGGACAAUGGGCGAAAGCCUGAUCCAGCAAUGCCGCGUGUGUGAAGAAGGCCUUCGGGUUGUAAAGCACUUUUGGCGGGAACGAAACAGCGCUUGCUAAUACCGAGCGCGAAUGACGGUACCCGCAGAAUAAGCACCGGCUAACUACGUGCCAGCAGCCGCGGUAAGACGUAGGGUGCAAGCGUUAAUCGGAAUUACUGGGCGUAAAGCGUGCGCAGGCGGUUUUGUAAGACAGAUGUGAAAUCCCCGGGCUCAACCUGGGAACUGCAUUUGUGACUGCAAGGCUAGAGUGCGUCAGAGGGAGGUGGAAUUCC